UACGUAGGGGGCUAGCGUUGUCCGGAUUUAUUGGGCGUAAAGAGCGUGUAGGCGGCCAGGUAGGUCUGCUGUGAAAACCCGCGGCUCAACCGUGUGGCUUGCAGUCGAUACGGGCAGGCUAGAGUUCGGUAGGGGAGACUGGAAUUCCUGGUGUAGCGGCGAAAUGCGCAGAUAUCAGGAGGAACACCGGUGGCGAGGGCGAGUCUCUGGGCCGAUACUGACGCUGAGGAGCGAAAGCGUGGGGAGCGAACCGG
Molecule: ribosomal RNA, 254 nt
Filed under: uncultured bacterium
Lineage: Bacteria
Description: partial 16S ribosomal RNA
Rfam family: Bacterial small subunit ribosomal RNA
Source: RNAcentral